UCCGUUGCAACGGAAAAGUCACUUGCAACGGAUUAUCCGUUGCAAUUUAAAAGAAUUUGCAACGGAUAAUCCGUUGCAAAUAAAA
Molecule: small RNA, 85 nt
Filed under: Salix viminalis (osier)
Lineage: Eukaryota; Viridiplantae; Streptophyta; Magnoliopsida; Malpighiales; Salicaceae
Source: RNAcentral